AAAAAAAGCCGGAAUAGCUCAGUUGGUAGAGCAGAGGACUGAAAAUCCUCGUGUCAC
RNAcentral lists this transfer RNA (57 nucleotides) under Drepanocladus aduncus. Its description in RNAcentral is "partial tRNA-Phe". The stretch from base 8 to 57 matches the Rfam family "tRNA", at positions 1 to 48 of the family's 71-position model. Rfam says of the family: Transfer RNA (tRNA) molecules are approximately 80 nucleotides in length. The record is from RNAcentral. Lineage: Eukaryota; Viridiplantae; Streptophyta; Bryopsida; Hypnales; Amblystegiaceae.